This 1343-nucleotide ribosomal RNA is filed under the name uncultured bacterium. RNAcentral describes it as "16S ribosomal RNA". It matches the Rfam family "Bacterial small subunit ribosomal RNA", at positions 28 to 1378 of the family's 1533-position model. The record is from RNAcentral.
GACGAACGCUGGCGGCGCGCUUAACACAUGCAAGUCGAACGGAAAGGCCCUGCUUUUGUGGGGUGCUCGAGUGGCGAACGGGUGAGUAACACGUGAGUAACCUGCCCUUGACUUUGGGAUAACUUCAGGAAACUGGGGCUAAUACCGGAUAGGAGCUCCUGCUGCAUGGUGGGGGUUGGAAAGUUUCGGCGGUUGGGGAUGGACUCGCGGCUUAUCAGCUUGUUGGUGGGGUAGUGGCUUACCAAGGCUUUGACGGGUAGCCGGCCUGAGAGGGUGACCGGCCACAUUGGGACUGAGAUACGGCCCAGACUCCUACGGGAGGCAGCAGUGGGGAAUAUUGCACAAUGGGCGGAAGCCUGAUGCAGCAACGCCGCGUGCGGGAUGACGGCCUUCGGGUUGUAAACCGCUUUCGCCUGUGACGAAGCGUGAGUGACGGUAAUGGGUAAAGAAGCACCGGCUAACUACGUGCCAGCAGCCGCGGUGAUACGUAGGGUGCGAGCGUUGUCCGGAUUUAUUGGGCGUAAAGGGCUCGUAGGUGGUUGAUCGCGUCGGAAGUGUAAUCUUGGGGCUUAACCCUGAGCGUGCUUUCGAUACGGGUUGACUUGAGGAAGGUAGGGGAGAAUGGAAUUCCUGGUGGAGCGGUGGAAUGCGCAGAUAUCAGGAGGAACACCAGUGGCGAAGGCGGUUCUCUGGGCCUUUCCUGACGCUGAGGAGCGAAAGCGUGGGGAGCGAACAGGCUUAGAUACCCUGGUAGUCCACGCUGUAAACGGUGGGUACUAGGUGUGGGGUCCAUUCCACGGGUUCCGUGCCGUAGCUAACGCUUUAAGUACCCCGCCUGGGGAGUACGGCCGCAAGGCUAAAACUCAAAGGAAUUGACGGGGCCCCGCACAAGCGGCGGAGCAUGCGGAUUAAUUCGAUGCAACGCGUAGAACCUUACCUGGGUUUGACAUGGAUCGGGAGCGCUCAGAGAUGGGUGUGCCUCUUUUGGGGUCGGUUCACAGGUGGUGCAUGGCUGUCGUCAGCUCGUGUCGUGAGAUGUUGGGUUAAGUCCCGCAACGAGCGCAACCCUUGUUCACUGUUGCCAGCACGUUAUGGUGGGGACUCAGUGGAGACCGCCGGGGUCAACUCGGAGGAAGGUGGGGAUGACGUCAAGUCAUCAUGCCCCUUAUGUCCAGGGCUUCACGCAUGCUACAAUGGCUGGUACAGAGAGUGGCGAGCCUGUGAGGGUGAGCGAAUCUCGGAAAGCCGGUCUCAGUUCGGAUUGGGGUCUGCAACUCGACCUCAUGAAGUCGGAGUCGCUAGUAAUCGCAGAUCAGCAACGCUGCGGUGAAUACGUUCCCGGG